RNAcentral lists this ribosomal RNA (328 nucleotides) under Pseudomonas aeruginosa. Its description in RNAcentral is "partial 23S ribosomal RNA". It matches the Rfam family "Bacterial large subunit ribosomal RNA", at positions 2670 to 2925 of the family's 2925-position model. Lineage: Bacteria; Pseudomonadati; Pseudomonadota; Gammaproteobacteria; Pseudomonadales; Pseudomonadaceae. The record is from RNAcentral.
CUCUGGUGUUCCGGUUGUCACGCCAGUGGCAUUGCCGGGUAGCUAUGUUCGGAAAAGAUAACCGCUGAAAGCAUCUAAGCGGGAAACUUGCCUCAAGAUGAGAUCUCUGGUGUUCCGGUUGUCACGCCAGUGGCAUUGCCGGGUAGCUAUGUUCGGAAAAGAUAACCGCUGAAAGCAUCUAAGCGGGAAACUUGCCUCAAGAUGAGAUCUCACUGGGAACUUGAUUCCCCUGAAGGGCCGUCGAAGACUACGACGUUGAUAGGCUGGGUGUGUAAGCGUUGUGAGGCGUUGAGCUAACCAGUACUAAUUGCCCGUGAGGCUUGACCAU